Molecule: ribosomal RNA, 446 nt
Filed under: uncultured bacterium
Lineage: Bacteria
Description: bacterial SSU rRNA
Rfam family: Bacterial small subunit ribosomal RNA
Source: RNAcentral
UGCCAGACUCCUACGGGAGGCAGCAGUGGGGAAUAUUGCACAAUGGGGGAAACCCUGAUGCAGCGACGCCGCGUGAAGGACGAAGUAUUUCGGUACGUAAACUUCUAUCAGCAGGGAAGAAAAUGACGGUACCUGACCAAGAAGCCCCGGCUAACUACGUGCCAGCAGCCGCGGUAAUACGUAGGGGGCAAGCGUUAUCCGGAUUUACUGGGUGUAAAGGGAGCGUAGACGGCCAUGCAAGUCUGAUGUGAAAACCCGGGGCUCAACCCCGGGACUGCAUUGGAAACUGUGCGGCUGGAGUGUCGGAGAGGCAAGUGGAAUUCCUAGUGUAGCGGUGAAAUGCGUAGAUAUUAGGAGGAACACCAGUGGCGAAGGCGGCUUACUGGACUGUAACUGACGUUGAGGCUCGAAAGCGUGGGGAGCAAACAGGAUUAGAUCCCCUAGUA